This 500-nucleotide ribosomal RNA is filed under the name uncultured methanogenic archaeon. RNAcentral describes it as "bacterial SSU rRNA". It matches the Rfam family "Archaeal small subunit ribosomal RNA", at positions 1 to 508 of the family's 1478-position model. Lineage: Archaea; Methanobacteriati; Methanobacteriota. The record is from RNAcentral.
UCCGUUUGAUCCCGGCAGAGGUUACUGCUAUCGAGGUUCGACUAAGCCAUGCGAGUCGAAUGUAGCAAUACAUGGCGAACUGCUCAGUAACACGUGGACAACCUGCCCUUAGGACGGGGAUAAACCCGGGAAACUGGGUAUAAUACCCGAUAGGUCUCGAUUGCUGGAAUGCAUCGAGAUUUAAAGCUCCGGCGCCUAAGGAUGGGUCUGCGGCCUAUCAGGUAGUAGUGGGUGUAGCGUACCUACUAGCCUACGACGGGUACGGGUUGUGAGAGCAAGAGCCCGGAGAUGGAUUCUGAGACACGAAUCCAGGCCCUACGGGGUGCAGCAGGCGCGAAAACUUUACAAUGCUGGCAACAGCGAUAAGGGAACCUCGAGUGCCAGGUUACAAAUCUGGCUGUCGAGAUGCCUAAAAAGCAUUUCAUAGCAAGGGCCGGGCAAGACCGGUGCCAGCCGCCGCGGUAACACCGGCGGCUCGAGUGGUAACCGUUAUUAUUGGG